ACAGUACUCUACGGGGAGGCAGCAGUGGGGGAAUAUUGCGCAAUGGACGAAAGUCUGACGCAGCGACGCCGCGUGAGGAUGAAGGUUUUCGGAUCGUAAACUCCUGUCAAGAGGGAAGAAACCUAUUAUGAAUAAUACUCAUAGUAAUUGACGGUACCUCUAGAGGAAGCACCGGCUAAUUCAGUGCCAGCAGCCGCGGUAAUACUGAAGGUGCAAGCGUUAAUCGGAAUCACUGGGCGUAAAGCGCUCGUAGGUGGCUUUGUAAGUCAGGUGUGAAAGCCCACCGGCUCAACCGUGGAAUUGCACUUGAUACUGCAUCGCUAGAGUAUAGGAGAGGGAAGGUGGAAUUUCUGGUGUAGGAGUGAAAUACCGUAGAGAUCAGAAGGAACACCCCGUGGCGAAGGCGACUUCCUGGACUAUUACUGACACUGAGGAGCGAAAGCGUGGGGAGCAAACAGGAUUAGAUACCCCUGGUAG
RNAcentral lists this ribosomal RNA (477 nucleotides) under uncultured bacterium. Its description in RNAcentral is "bacterial SSU rRNA". It matches the Rfam family "Bacterial small subunit ribosomal RNA", at positions 330 to 793 of the family's 1533-position model. The record is from RNAcentral.